RNAcentral lists this ribosomal RNA (2896 nucleotides) under Escherichia coli. RNAcentral describes it as "bacterial LSU rRNA". It matches the Rfam family "Bacterial large subunit ribosomal RNA". Lineage: Bacteria; Pseudomonadati; Pseudomonadota; Gammaproteobacteria; Enterobacterales; Enterobacteriaceae. The record is from RNAcentral.
ACUAAGCGUACACGGUGGAUGCCCUGGCAGUCAGAGGCGAUGAAGGACGUGCUAAUCUGCGAUAAGCGUCGGUAAGGUGAUAUGAACCGUUAUAACCGGCGAUUUCCGAAUGGGGAAACCCAGUGUGUUUCGACACACUAUCAUUAACUGAAUCCAUAGGUUAAUGAGGCGAACCGGGGGAACUGAAACAUCUAAGUACCCCGAGGAAAAGAAAUCAACCGAGAUUCCCCCAGUAGCGGCGAGCGAACGGGGAGCAGCCCAGAGCCUGAAUCAGUAUGUGUGUUAGUGGAAGCGUCUGGAAAGGCGCGCGAUACAGGGUGACAGCCCCGUACACAAAAAUGCACAUGCUGUGAGCUCGAUGAGUAGGGCGGGACACGUGGUAUCCUGUCUGAAUAUGGGGGGACCAUCCUCCAAGGCUAAAUACUCCUGACUGACCGAUAGUGAACCAGUACCGUGAGGGAAAGGCGAAAAGAACCCCGGCGAGGGGAGUGAAAAAGAACCUGAAACCGUGUACGUACAAGCAGUGGGAGCACGCUUAGGCGUGUGACUGCGUACCUUUUGUAUAAUGGGUCAGCGACUUAUAUUCUGUAGCAAGGUUAACCGAAUAGGGGAGCCGAAGGGAAACCGAGUCUUAACUGGGCGUUAAGUUGCAGGGUAUAGACCCGAAACCCGGUGAUCUAGCCAUGGGCAGGUUGAAGGUUGGGUAACACUAACUGGAGGACCGAACCGACUAAUGUUGAAAAAUUAGCGGAUGACUUGUGGCUGGGGGUGAAAGGCCAAUCAAACCGGGAGAUAGCUGGUUCUCCCCGAAAGCUAUUUAGGUAGCGCCUCGUGAAUUCAUCUCCGGGGGUAGAGCACUGUUUCGGCAAGGGGGUCAUCCCGACUUACCAACCCGAUGCAAACUGCGAAUACCGGAGAAUGUUAUCACGGGAGACACACGGCGGGUGCUAACGUCCGUCGUGAAGAGGGAAACAACCCAGACCGCCAGCUAAGGUCCCAAAGUCAUGGUUAAGUGGGAAACGAUGUGGGAAGGCCCAGACAGCCAGGAUGUUGGCUUAGAAGCAGCCAUCAUUUAAAGAAAGCGUAAUAGCUCACUGGUCGAGUCGGCCUGCGCGGAAGAUGUAACGGGGCUAAACCAUGCACCGAAGCUGCGGCAGCGACACUAUGUGUUGUUGGGUAGGGGAGCGUUCUGUAAGCCUGUGAAGGUGUGCUGUGAGGCAUGCUGGAGGUAUCAGAAGUGCGAAUGCUGACAUAAGUAACGAUAAAGCGGGUGAAAAGCCCGCUCGCCGGAAGACCAAGGGUUCCUGUCCAACGUUAAUCGGGGCAGGGUGAGUCGACCCCUAAGGCGAGGCCGAAAGGCGUAGUCGAUGGGAAACAGGUUAAUAUUCCUGUACUUGGUGUUACUGCGAAGGGGGGACGGAGAAGGCUAUGUUGGCCGGGCGACGGUUGUCCCGGUUUAAGCGUGUAGGCUGGUUUUCCAGGCAAAUCCGGAAAAUCAAGGCUGAGGCGUGAUGACGAGGCACUACGGUGCUGAAGCAACAAAUGCCCUGCUUCCAGGAAAAGCCUCUAAGCAUCAGGUAACAUCAAAUCGUACCCCAAACCGACACAGGUGGUCAGGUAGAGAAUACCAAGGCGCUUGAGAGAACUCGGGUGAAGGAACUAGGCAAAAUGGUGCCGUAACUUCGGGAGAAGGCACGCUGAUAUGUAGGUGAAGUCCCUCGCGGAUGGAGCUGAAAUCAGUCGAAGAUACCAGCUGGCUGCAACUGUUUAUUAAAAACACAGCACUGUGCAAACACGAAAGUGGACGUAUACGGUGUGACGCCUGCCCGGUGCCGGAAGGUUAAUUGAUGGGGUUAGCCGCAAGGCGAAGCUCUUGAUCGAAGCCCCGGUAAACGGCGGCCGUAACUAUAACGGUCCUAAGGUAGCGAAAUUCCUUGUCGGGUAAGUUCCGACCUGCACGAAUGGCGUAAUGAUGGCCAGGCUGUCUCCACCCGAGACUCAGUGAAAUUGAACUCGCUGUGAAGAUGCAGUGUACCCGCGGCAAGACGGAAAGACCCCGUGAACCUUUACUAUAGCUUGACACUGAACAUUGAGCCUUGAUGUGUAGGAUAGGUGGGAGGCUUAGAAGUGUGGACGCCAGUCUGCAUGGAGCCGACCUUGAAAUACCACCCUUUAAUGUUUGAUGUUCUAACGUUGACCCGUAAUCCGGGUUGCGGACAGUGUCUGGUGGGUAGUUUGACUGGGGCGGUCUCCUCCUAAAGAGUAACGGAGGAGCACGAAGGUUGGCUAAUCCUGGUCGGACAUCAGGAGGUUAGUGCAAUGGCAUAAGCCAGCUUGACUGCGAGCGUGACGGCGCGAGCAGGUGCGAAAGCAGGUCAUAGUGAUCCGGUGGUUCUGAAUGGAAGGGCCAUCGCUCAACGGAUAAAAGGUACUCCGGGGAUAACAGGCUGAUACCGCCCAAGAGUUCAUAUCGACGGCGGUGUUUGGCACCUCGAUGUCGGCUCAUCACAUCCUGGGGCUGAAGUAGGUCCCAAGGGUAUGGCUGUUCGCCAUUUAAAGUGGUACGCGAGCUGGGUUUAGAACGUCGUGAGACAGUUCGGUCCCUAUCUGCCGUGGGCGCUGGAGAACUGAGGGGGGCUGCUCCUAGUACGAGAGGACCGGAGUGGACGCAUCACUGGUGUUCGGGUUGUCAUGCCAAUGGCACUGCCCGGUAGCUAAAUGCGGAAGAGAUAAGUGCUGAAAGCAUCUAAGCACGAAACUUGCCCCGAGAUGAGUUCUCCCUGACUCCUUGAGAGUCCUGAAGGAACGUUGAAGACGACGACGUUGAUAGGCCGGGUGUGUAAGCGCAGCGAUGCGUUGAGCUAACCGGUACUAAUGAACCGUGAGGCUUAACCUU